AAAGUCGUAACAAGGUUUCCGUAGGUGAACCUGCGGAAGGAUCAUUAAUGAAUCGGUCUUUUUGACCCAUUUCAAUCCCAUACCUUUGUGAACUGUUUUGGUUACUUUGGCGGGGUCGCAGCUAAUGGGCCCAUUUUAGGGACUCCCCGCCAAGGUCAUUGCAAACUUUAGUUUAAAAUGUUAGAAAGUAAUUUAUUAAAUUUAUACAACUUUUAGCAACGGAUCUCUUGGCUCUC
Molecule: unclassified non-coding RNA, 236 nt
Filed under: Basidiomycota sp.
Lineage: Eukaryota; Fungi; Basidiomycota
Description: partial contains small subunit ribosomal RNA, internal transcribed spacer 1, and 5.8S ribosomal RNA
Rfam family: Eukaryotic small subunit ribosomal RNA (bases 1-47)
Source: RNAcentral